Non-coding RNA from Mesocricetus auratus (golden hamster), 182 nucleotides. The record is from Rfam. NCBI's taxonomy places the organism in Eukaryota, Metazoa, Chordata, Mammalia, Rodentia, Cricetidae.
AUCGCUUCUCGGCCUUUUGGCUAAGAUCAAGUGUAGUAAUUAUCUUUGCUUAAAGAUUUAUUUAUUUAUUUAUUAUUUAUUAAAGAUUUAUUAUUUAUACAGUACUCUGUCUGUCUACAUGCAUGCCUGCAGGCCAGAAGAGGGCACCAUAUCUCACUAUAGAUGGUUGUGAGCCACCAUGU